RNAcentral lists this transfer RNA (95 nucleotides) under Bacteroides uniformis. Its description in RNAcentral is "tRNA-Gly". It matches the Rfam family "tRNA". Rfam says of the family: Transfer RNA (tRNA) molecules are approximately 80 nucleotides in length. Their secondary structure includes four short double-helical elements and three loops (D, anti-codon, and T loops). Lineage: Bacteria; Pseudomonadati; Bacteroidota; Bacteroidia; Bacteroidales; Bacteroidaceae. The record is from RNAcentral. RNAcentral also lists the same sequence under 6 other names.
ACGGAAGUAGCUCAGUUGGUUGCCUUUAAUCCGCAGGAUUAAAGGACAUUAGCCUUCCAAGCUGAGGGUCGCGGGUUUGAGCCCCGUCUUCCGCU